Molecule: RNA transcript, 2312 nt
Organism: Xiphophorus maculatus (southern platyfish)
Lineage: Eukaryota; Metazoa; Chordata; Actinopteri; Cyprinodontiformes; Poeciliidae
Gene: tyw2
Gene name: tRNA methyltransferase 12 homolog
Exons: 8
Source: RefSeq, a predicted model, not a curated record
CAAAAGCUUGAUCAAUGGCAGGUACCCCAUUGGCUGCAUGUAGCGUUUUACUAAAUAACAAGACAUGUAAAGUAAAUCCAAAGCAUUUAUUCAGUUGCUCAUAAAUGGAUGGCGUACCUUGUCUUCGUGUGGCUUGUUGUCAGGCACAGCAGUUCAGGAUGUAUCUCCAGUCCAGGGGGAUGUUGGACCAGAGUUUUAGCUUGGUUAAACAACCAGACGGGACCGUUCUCCUUCCUAUUUCACCAUCCUGCGUCUCACAGCUGGAUCUGCAGUCUCUCAGAAACACUUUGACUCCAGUUGUUUGUGAUUUCACCUGGAGUCAGUCUCCACAGUCAAAAAAGGAGAAGGGGAGGAAAGCUGGAAAUAAACUGGAGAGAACCAUCCAGGAGUUGUUAGAGUAUCGGGGUGAAAGAUGGAUGGAGGAGAUGAGGAGCGAUCUUCCUCGGAGCUUCCAGAGACAUGGAGACCUCGUUCUGCUGGGCGACAGCUGCUUUACUUUGCCAAUAUGGGAUAAAAUAGGCGAUCAGUUAUGGAGUGCAGUCACCAAAGAGCUGAGGGUGAAGCGGCUUGCAAAGAUGAGUCGGAUAUCCAGGGAUGAUAGAUUCAGGUCUCCUGUGGUAACGAUGCUGCUGGGCGACAACAGCUGGGUCAAACAUGUGGACAAUGGCAUCAGUUAUGAGUUUGAUGUCACCAGAUGCAUGUUCUCAGCCGGGAACAUCACAGAGAAACUCCGUGUGGCCGAAUUUGACUGCAGUGGAGAGACUGUGGUCGACUUAUAUGCAGGUAUUGGAUACUUCACUCUGCCAUAUUUGGUCCAUGCGAAGGCCAGCCAUGUUCACGCCUGUGAGUGGAACCCUGACGCCGUUGCUGCUUUACAGAAAAACCUGGAAGUAAACGGGGUGUCAGAGCGCUGCACCAUCCAUCAAGGAGACAGCCGUCAAGUACAGCUGUGUAAUAUCGCCGACCGGGUGAACCUGGGUCUCAUCCCGAGCUCUGAGGAGGGCUGGCCCGUUGCAUGUCGGCUGCUGAAGAAGACGACCGGCGGCGUUUUGCACAUUCAUCAGAACGUCACCUCUCCUUUACCGAACGCUGCUGCUGGCGACACCGCUCCUCAAAAUGUUUCUGCAAAGAACGCUGACAGAGAGGUGUGGCGGGCCUGGGCCAGUGACACCGCAAACCGAAUAACUUCUCUGUUCAUGGACCUCACUGGUGCAUCGUGGGAAAUAAAUAUCCAGCACAUAGAGCAUGUGAAGUCUUAUGCGCCUCAUGUGCACCAUGUUGUGCUGGACUUGGGCUGCAGACCGUCCUGAAUUAGCAUCGAAAAACUGCUGCUUUUAUUCCCAGGAGUAAAUAACAGAAGGCUGCGGAGAACACUUUUAUUUAACCCCGUCAGACCUGGUUUAUUUUUGUCUGGGAUGGUGUUUUUGAAGUGCAAGCACAGAAACAAAAGGAUCAAAACAGAAAAUCCAAACAGCCAAGACCAGAUAUCUCUAGGCAAGGCAACUUUAUUUAUAUAGCACCUUUCAGCCAAAGACAAUUCAAAGUGCUUGUACAAAAAAGUUAAAAACAACAUACAACAGAUUAAAAAGUAUCUCUACAUUUUAUAGCAAUUAAAGCAAGUAUGAGAGUUUAUGAAAAAAUAUAUUAUAAAAUAAUUUUGAAAUCACAAAUUAGCCAUAAAAUACUUAGAUACUUUUUUCUCUGCAGGGUUAUGCUAAAUAAGCCUUUGAACAUCCGAACUCUUGACGUUUUCUCAAAAUAACUUCAAAUCCUAUCACUUGAAAUAGUUUUCUAGCCUACCAUGAACCAUAUAUAUAUUUGAUGUAAAACAGACACUUUUUCCCUUCUGUGUUUUCUUGAAGGAGAGUCAGUCCUCCAUGUAGACGAUUCCCUGCAUGUUUUUAUUAGUGUGGAUAUAAUGUGAAUCACAUGCUGAGACCCUCACAAUAAUCCUAUCUGAGCUCGGUUGAGCAGAUGAGGGAAGAUUUGCUCCCAGAAAAGGGAUUUUUCUUCUCAACGAUCUGCUAAAGCAAAACGUCAAAGUUGUUUUAAAGAAAAAAAAUGAGCUUUGUUGGUAGCAACAUGCUGAACAUAUCAACAUUAAUUAUUUCUGGUUACAAAAUAGUUUAUCCUGAUUAAUAUUGCUGCUAAACUAUGGCUCCUUUCCUCUCUUCAAAUUGAGGCUGACUUUCCUGGAAUACUUAUUUUGUUUUUAAUAUUUUUAUUUUAAAUGUUUAUUUAAAUUUCAUUUUUAAUAAAUGUGCCAACAGACACUGGUUAGAUUUGAAAAUUUUGUAGAUUUCUUGAAAUUG